This 451-nucleotide ribosomal RNA is filed under the name uncultured bacterium. RNAcentral describes it as "partial 16S ribosomal RNA". It matches the Rfam family "Bacterial small subunit ribosomal RNA", at positions 28 to 507 of the family's 1533-position model. The record is from RNAcentral.
GAUGAAUGCUGGCGGCGUGCCUAACACAUGCAAGUCGAGCGGCAGCGAGGGGUGCUUGCACCCUGUCGGCGAGCGGCGAACGGCUGAGUAACGCGUAGGAAUUUGCCCCAAAGUGAGGAAUAACUGCCCGAAAGGGUAGCUAAUGCCGCAUAUGGUCUUCGGAUUAAAGGAUUUAUCCGCUUUGGGAGAAGCCUGCGUUGGAUUAGGUUGUUGGUAGGGUAAUGGCCUACCAAGCCGACGAUCCAUAGCUGGUCUGAGAGGAUGAUCAGCCAGACUGGAACUGCGACACGGUCCAGACUCCUACGGGAGGCAGCAGUGAGGAAUCUUCCACAAUGGGCGAAAGCCUGAUGGAGCAACGCCGCGUGAAGGAUGAAGGCCUUCGGGUUGUAAACUUCUUUUAUGAGUGAAGAAUAUGACGGUAACUCGUGAAUAAGCACCGGCUAACUACGUG